AUUGAACGCUGGCGGCAUGCCUUACACAUGCAAGUCGAACGGCAGCACGGGAGCAAUCCUGGUGGCGAGUGGCGAACGGGUGAGUAAUAUAUCGGAACGUGCCCAGUCGUGGGGAUAACGUAGCGAAAGCUACGCUAAUACCGCAUACGAUCUAUGGAUGAAAGCGGGGGAUCGCAAGACCUCGCGCGAUUGGAGCGGCCGAUAUCAGAUUAGGUAGUUGGUGAGGUAAAGGCUCACCAAGCCGACGAUCUGUAGCUGGUCUGAGAGGACGACCAGCCACACUGGGACUGAGACACGGCCCAGACUCCUACGGGAGGCAGCAGUGGGGAAUUUUUGGACAAUGGGCGGCAAGCCUGAUCCAGCAAUGCCGCGUGCAGGAUGAAGGCCUCGGUU
This 393-nucleotide ribosomal RNA is filed under the name uncultured bacterium. Its description in RNAcentral is "bacterial SSU rRNA". It matches the Rfam family "Bacterial small subunit ribosomal RNA", at positions 30 to 424 of the family's 1533-position model. The record is from RNAcentral.